GAUGAACGCUGGCGGCGUGCCUAAUACAUGCAAGUCGAGCGAACAGACGAGGAGCUUGCUCCUUUGACGUUAGCGGCGGACGGGUGAGUAACACGUAGGUAACCUACCUAUAAGACUGGGAUAACUUCGGGAAACCGGAGCUAAUACCGGAUAAUAUUUCGAACCGCAUGGGUCGAUAGUGAAAGAUGGCUUUGCUAUCACUUAUAGAUGGACCUGCGCCGUAUUAGCUAGUUGGUAAGGUAACGGCUUACCAAGGCAACGAUGCGUAGCCGACCUGAGAGGGUGAUCGGCCACACUGGAACUGAGACACGGUCCAGACUCCUACGGGAGGCAGCAGUAGGGAAUCUUCCGCAAUGGGCGAAAGCCUGACGGAGCAACGCCGCGUGAGUGAUGAAGGUCUUCGGAUCGUAAAACUCUGUUAUUAGGGAAGAACAAACGUGUAAGUAACUGUGCACGUCUUGACGGUACCUAAUCAGAAAGCCACGGCUAACUACGUG
This 497-nucleotide ribosomal RNA is filed under the name uncultured bacterium. RNAcentral describes it as "partial 16S ribosomal RNA". It matches the Rfam family "Bacterial small subunit ribosomal RNA", at positions 28 to 507 of the family's 1533-position model. The record is from RNAcentral.